Molecule: ribosomal RNA, 477 nt
Filed under: Candidatus Scalindua brodae
Lineage: Bacteria; Pseudomonadati; Planctomycetota; Candidatus Brocadiia; Candidatus Brocadiales; Candidatus Scalinduaceae
Description: bacterial SSU rRNA
Rfam family: Bacterial small subunit ribosomal RNA
Source: RNAcentral
UUCGCAAUGCCCGAAAGGGUGACGAAGCGACGCCGCGUGGGUGAGGAAGGCCCUCGGGUUGUAAAGCCCUGUCAGGAGUUAAGAAAUGUAAGUGCGCUAAUAUCGCAUUUAUUUGACGAAGGCUCCAAAGGAAGCCACGGCUAACUCUGUGCCAGCAGCCGCGGUAAUACAGAGGUGGCAAGCGUUGUUCGGAAUUAUUGGGCGUAAAGAGCACGUAGGUGGGUCUGUAAGUCAGAUGUGAAAGCCUUCUGUUCAACGGAAGAAUUGCAUCUGAAACUGCAGGUCUUGAGUGUAGGAGGGGAGAAUGGAACUUCUGGUGGAGCGGUGAAAUGCGUAGAUAUCAGAAGGAACGCCGGCGGCGAAAGCGAUUCUCUGGCCUAUUACUGACACUCAGUGUGCGAAAGCUAGGGGAGCAAACGGGAUUAGAUACCCCGGUAGUCCUAGCUGUAAACGAUGGGCACUAAGUAGAGGGGUUUU